Molecule: non-coding RNA, 345 nt
Organism: Cinara cedri
Lineage: Eukaryota; Metazoa; Arthropoda; Insecta; Hemiptera; Aphididae
Source: the annotation of a GenBank genome assembly
GUAGAUUUUUACGUUCGUGUUACUCGUGUACGUCUGCGGAGACGCGGUAACGUCUUUUUGCAUGCAUAUUAUAUUUUCCACUUUCGGCGCUCAAUCCCUACAAUACGCUUAUAACAAUAGUCACACCGUAAUACUAUACGCGCCGUUCGGACGAUGCACUAAAGUCAGGAGACACUUCGUGUCUUCGGUCAUACGUCAAUCGUCACCCAGAUGCUAAGAUCCUCGCGCUCUUUUGUCUCGGUACAAUUGAUAUGUAGCUGUGGUAACAGUGGCGUAGCCAACUCAGAUAUUUUCAGAGGCGAGAAUAUUAUUCCGAUAUCUGUGUACCUACCUACCGACGAACCC